CUACGGAGGACGCGAGCGUUAUCCGGAUUCAUUGGGUUUAAAGGGUGCGCAGGCGGCCGUGCAAGUCAGCGGUGAAAGCCCGGGGCCCAACCCCGGAAGUGCCGCUGAUACUGCAUGGCUUGAAUGCGGUCGAGGCGGGCGGGACGCGGGGGGUAGCGGGGAAAAGCGUAGAUAUGCCACAGAACGCCGAUAACGGAGGCAGCUCGCCAGGCCUGCAUUGACGCUCGGGCACGAAAGCGUGGGGAUCGAACAGGAUUAGAUACCCUGGUAGUCCACGCCGUAAACGAUGGGCGCUCGUCGUCGGCGGCAGACAGUCGGCGGCCAAGCGAAAGCGAUAAGCGCCCCACCUGGGGAGUACGGUCGCAAGGCUGAAACUCAAAUGAAUUGACGGGG
RNAcentral lists this ribosomal RNA (393 nucleotides) under uncultured bacterium. RNAcentral's name for it is "partial 16S ribosomal RNA". It matches the Rfam family "Bacterial small subunit ribosomal RNA", at positions 523 to 918 of the family's 1533-position model. The record is from RNAcentral.